AGAGUUUGAUCCUGGCUCAGGAUGAACGCUAGCGAUAGGCCUAACACAUGCAAGUCGAGGGGCAGCACAUGAAGUAGCAAUACGGAUGGUGGCGACCGGCGCACGGGUGAGUAACGCGUAUGCAACCUGCCUACAACAGGGGAAUAACCCGUUGAAAGACGGACUAAUACCCCAUAACACAGGGAUCCCGCAUGGGAAUAUUUGUUAAAGAUUUAUCGGUUGUAGAUGGGCAUGCGUUCCAUUAGCUGGUUGGUGAGGUAACGGCUCACCAAGGCAACGAUGGAUAGGGGAACUGAGAGGUUUAUCCCCCACACUGGUACUGAGACACGGACCAGACUCCUACGGGAGGCAGCAGUGAGGAAUAUUGGUCAAUGGACGCAAGUCUGAACCAGCCACGUCGCGUGAAGGAAGACGGCCCUACGGGUUGUAAACUUCUUUUGUAAGGGAAUAAAGUGCAGUACGUGUACUGUUUUGCAUGUACCUUACGAAUAAGGAUCGGCUAACUCCGUGCCAGCAGCCGCGGUAAUACGGAGGAUCCGAGCGUUAUCCGGAUUUAUUGGGUUUAAAGGGUGCGCAGGCGGGAGAUUAAGUCGGCGGUGAAAUUUUGCAGCUCAACUGUAAAAGUGCCUUCGAAACUGGUUUUCUUGAGUGUGGAUGAAGUAGGCGGAAUUUGUGGUGUAGCGGUGAAAUGCAUAGAUAUCACGAGGAACUCCGAUUGCGCAGGCAGCUUACUAAACCAUAACUGACGCUCACGCACGAAAGCGUGGGGAUCAAACAGGAUUAGAUACCCUGGUAGUC
This 798-nucleotide ribosomal RNA is filed under the name uncultured Proteiniphilum sp. RNAcentral's name for it is "bacterial SSU rRNA". It matches the Rfam family "Bacterial small subunit ribosomal RNA", at positions 8 to 795 of the family's 1533-position model. Lineage: Bacteria; Pseudomonadati; Bacteroidota; Bacteroidia; Bacteroidales; Dysgonomonadaceae. The record is from RNAcentral.